This 2243-nucleotide long non-coding RNA is filed under the name Marmota monax (woodchuck). The record is from RNAcentral. Lineage: Eukaryota; Metazoa; Chordata; Mammalia; Rodentia; Sciuridae.
CCACUCGCAGGCUGUUCGCUGGCCUGUAAGAACCCUUGUUUGCAGGCUAAAAGCGGACUCCAAGUCAUCCUACAGGCCUCUGUCCAGACUUCUCUGCGUCCAGGGAACCCUCCCUGGCUCCCCCAAGGCUGUCCAGGCUGUCCCUAACACCAAGCACGCAUGCGCGCUUCUCUAGCACUGUGAAUUAAGCCGCAGGGCCUUUGUCCACUGUUUUUAAUCUUUGGAUUGAAAUCCCUGCAUCCUAGGCUUCUAGAAGUGCUGUCCGUGCAAGAACCUCGCCUGUCUUGCUCCCAUUGCACACCUAGAACCUGGAACGGAAAGUGCCGGGUAAAUAUUUGCUGACAACUGUUGACUCUAGACUUAGGGGCACCCGGGUCUCAGCGGUGGCCCCCACCUUGAGAAAGGACCGGGGCUAGGAGCUCCAGGGCGAGCGAGAGUGACUAGAAAGCGAAAGUAACGCGGAGCGGGGCGGAAAGCACCCCGGGCGAGGUCUGCGGAGGAGGCCGGGCCAAGAGUUCAUUCAGCGGGUCCCGCGGCUCGGCUCGGCGGUCUGUGGCGCGCUGGGAAGGCGGGGGCGUUGUGGGCGGGGACCGAGCCCCGCGGAAAGGAGAGAAAAUGUGUUUUGUAAUUAGUCAUUGCCUCCCGGGGUGAGGCUGGGAGUUUUCUCCGGAGGUGGGUUGAACAGAUUUGCAAAAUGACAAACAGGGGCUAACCGCGGGCUGGGGCCACAGCGGGGCUUCCGGCCCUGGUGGCAGAAGUCGAGCUUUCUAGUUUUUUCUGUCCCCCCCCCCCCCAUUCAAGGUUCUGCCAAAUAGUGGAAACUGGGAGGAGAAAACCCAACUGGCUGUCCUGACUCCUGCUCCCGCCCUCUGCCUCUCCGCGUGGUCUCUAGAGGACCAGGAAUGGGGACAAGGUGAUGCUGGUCACCUGGACCUGGAAAGCUCAAUCCAAAGAUUUUGACAGAUUUACACGGAGAGGUUGUGGAAGCAUGAAGAUGUUCUGGAGAUGAGGGAUCUGGGUCAAAGCUGCCAUGUCUCUCUUCCUGCUAAAGGGACGGACCCGCGGAUGCUGGAACUCCUAGAAGUUAGAUAGACAGUGUCCCUCCGCUCCCCAACACACACACACACAGGGCACACUUCUGUCUCCACUCCUGUUUCCAGAGCAGUGACUUUCACUUAUGUAUGUAUGUAUUUUGUGGUACAAGGUAUGGAACCCAGGAGCCAUCCAUCACCAAGCUACAUCCCCAGCCCUGUUCAUUUUUUGAGACAGGGUCUUACUAAAUUGCUCAGACUGUCUCAAACGUGCGAUCCUCCUGCCUCAGCUCCCUGAGCAGCUAGGAUUAUAGGCCUGGGCCGCUGUGCCAGCUCCGUUUUAAAAUCACAAGUCACACUAAGAAAUGGCAUUUCAUGUCUCAACCCAUUACUUAUCUGAGAGUCUGCCCAUGCAGAUACACAGAAGCAAAAACUCUCCAAAGCCCUACAUUCCUACAUUAUGUGUUUGCGUUUUAUGCUACUUUUUGUUUUGUUAUCAGGAAUUGAACCUAGGGAAGCUUUUCCUCUGAGCCACAUGCCCAGCCCUUUUUUAUCUGUUACCUGAGACAGGGUCUCACUAAGUUGCUUAAGAUGCUUAGGGCUUUGCUAUAUUGCUGAGGCUGGCCUGGAACUUGCAAUCCUCCUGCCUGACCUCCCAAGUUGUUGGGAUUCAGGUAUGUGCCACCAUGCAUGGCUUUUUUUUUUUUUCCUUUAAACUUUUUGGUGCUGGGGAUUGAACCCAAAAGCCUUCCACAUGGCAAGCACAUGAUCUACCACUGAAGACUAUACCCCCAGCUCUAUGAAGCCAGAUUUAAAAUUAGGUAGUCAGUGUAGUUAGGUAAAUCGGGUCUAAUAUCCAGUGAAAUCUAAAAUGGAGGCCAUGUUGAGAAUGAAUUCCUGGAAAAAGUUGAGCAACUCUCGGAAUGUUAAUGAAGUCCAGGAAACAGCCCCCAACAGAUUUGAAGAUAGCCCAUCCCAAAGAAAUGUUAAUGAACAGCAAACUUGAAGAUGCUGACUCGGAAGUGCCCAGAUUACUUCUUUGGCCCACCUGUGUCCCAACCCUUGGGCCUUCCCACCUACAUUCCAUCACCAAAAACUAUAAAAAGGGGAACACAUUUGCCCUUCAAUGGAUUCCAUCUCUUGGGUUCCCUUCUUCCUCCAGGAGAAGUCUUUUCUGCUGUCCUUUAAUAAACUUCUAAUUUUCCACUCUGA